CGUGCUUGCAUUUCCUAUCAUGAUUUUCUUGAUAGAGGUUUGCUGCUCACAAGGAAGCUAUUAAACCAAGAGUUCCAAAUGGUGAAGUUGAAAUCAUCACUUCGUAAAUUGUACGGACGCCAUCACGAGUUGGUUGACCGUUAUGGAAUAACCGUUUCACAAAUGAUCUCGGAUAUGUUCCUUACGUCGUAACUACAAUCCCCUUCCCUUUCAUGAAUAUGACCUACCGAAUUAGACUAUUUACCGGAUUUGUAAUCACAUAAGCAACACGACGGGUGCCACAUGUGGAGCAGGAUCUGCUUACCCUUCCGGAGCACCUGAGAUCACCCCUAGUUUUUGGUGGGGUUCGUGUUGUUUAUUCUUUAGUUUUCUAUGUUGUGUCGUGUGUACUAUUGUUUUUCUGUUUGUCUUUUUCAUUUUUAG
Molecule: long non-coding RNA, 423 nt
Filed under: Mytilus galloprovincialis (Mediterranean mussel)
Lineage: Eukaryota; Metazoa; Mollusca; Bivalvia; Mytilida; Mytilidae
Source: RNAcentral